Molecule: ribosomal RNA, 492 nt
Filed under: uncultured bacterium
Lineage: Bacteria
Description: partial 16S ribosomal RNA
Rfam family: Bacterial small subunit ribosomal RNA
Source: RNAcentral
AGUGAACGCUGGCGGUAGGCCUAACACAUGCAAGUCGAACGGCAGCACAGUAAGAGCUUGCUCUUACGGGUGGCGAGUGGCGGACGGGUGAGGAAUACAUCGGAAUCUACUUUUUCGUGGGGGAUAACGUAGGGAAACUUACGCUAAUACCGCAUACGACCUACGGGUGAAAGCAUGGGAUCUUCGGACCUUGCGCGAUUGAAUGAGCCGAUGUCGGAUUAGCUAGUUGGCGGGGUAAAGGCCCACCAAGGCGACGAUCCGUAGCUGGUCUGAGAGGAUGAUCAGCCACACUGGAACUGAGACACGGUCCAGACUCCUACGGGAGGCAGCAGUGGGGAAUAUUGGACAAAGGGCGCAAGCCUGAUCCAGCCAUACCGCGUGGGUGAAGAAGGCCUUCGGGUUGUAAAGCCCUUUUGUUGGGAAAGAAAAGCAGCAGGUUAAUACCCCGCUGUUCUGACGGUACCCAAAGAAUAAGCACCGACUAACUUCGUG